UCUCUUUUUCGAUUUGAGGCUGGAGGUCCGUCUGGAUCUGUCCAUGGCGACUCCCGCAGCGACGGCACCGGCGUUGGCCUCUGGGAGUAGGAUUCUCUGGACGAUUUUUUCAUAUGAAAUCGCUGGCAGAGGCGUACGAAUUCUACAAUUUGUAUUCAUGGGAGGUGAGCAGGCAGAAUGUCAACGGGACCAAAUGCAUGUAGGAGAUCGUGUGCGGCUGCGCCGGUAAACCAAAGAGGAAGAACAGUUAAUCGUUGAGGAACAAUUGCGUCGCCAUGAUUUGUCUACACCGGACAGAUGAUGUGGGGUGGUAUAUACGCCUCGGAAAAUCAUGCUUCUCACAAUCAUGAUCUGCUUAGGCUGGCCAUAGUGGGGUAACAUACAUUUGGAACUAGCAAACAUGCUUAUGUGACACACAAUUAAAAAAGAGAGGAAGGAUUAGAGUAACAUAAGUAGAUACCGUAUCUCUACUCCUAAUGGAGCAGUUGAUAGUCUCCGUCGGUCAAUUUUCGUCCCACCACUUUCGUCCGAUUUUUUUUCGUCGGUUAACCUUCGUAGAUUUUUUUGGUUCCGUCCACCACCUCCCCUCCGCUGGUUUUAGCGUCGCGACAGAACCAAUCGCUAGCCCUACCUCCUCUCCCGUCUCCAGUCGCAGCCGCCGCUGCCGCCGCACCCCAAUCCAACCCCGCCGCCGGCGAUCUCCUCGCCCCCCUGUGCCGUCGCCCCCAACCUUCUAUUCCUCUCCCAAGGGAAGGGAAGGGAAGGCAAGGCAAGGGAAGGGAGAGGGAGCGCCCAGAUCCACGGCGGCAUCAGCGCGCCGUCCUCGACCUGAUCCGCGUCCGUCCACGGAUGGGAGCUAAUCGGCGCAGGAAAUCCCCGUCCCCGCGUCCGAGCCCCGCCACCCUCCGGAACGGCUCGACCGCCCAUAGACGCGCUGCCCCCGCGGCGCCCGACUAGUUCGGCUCUCGCGGCUGGUGGACGCGCCCUUGCUGUUGCCGACGCCGGCUCGCUGCGCCGCACUGGCCCUCACAAGCGUCUUCUGUCAAUGAUGGACUUGAGAGGUCAAGGAGUUUCCAUUGGGACAUCGGGACAUGCUCCUCCAUCUCCUCCGGUGGACGACAUCCAACAUCGCCAGUUCAUGCACUUAUGGACUGAAGAAAAAAAAUGGAAAUGAAGAAGAAAAGAAUAGCAAUAUUAUCAUAUGGGAGGUUUGCUUUUAACCUUGGUUCCUAACCAAUAUUUGCUAAAUAAUUCUGCCGAGAGAUUCACACUGUCAUUCAUAUUAUGAAUAUAGUUCAUAACCAGUAUUCUCUUUUAUCUAAUUAUAUGUACAGAAAGGAGUAAUCUGAAGUGAAUUCAUGCUAUGUUAACAGUCUAACAAACAUCUUGGAGGUGUGAAUGCUUUCUUGGGUCUGACAAGUAAUCAAUAAUUGAUGGUAGGGAUUUUUCUCAUACUUCUAGCACUUCCUCAUUGACAAUAAAGCAAGUAGUAUCACAACAAAGGCUAUCCAGGUAUUUUUUUUUCAACUAUAAUCCUUCCAGCUUUAGGGACUGCUCAAUUGGAUCUGCACAAUCCAACAAAAUAAAUGUGCAUAGUGUCUGCGACACUUUCAUCCGAUCAUCACGAAGAUAGUUGUAGGAGUAAAAAAGUAUGUCAUACUGUUUUUUCAGUUCAAGCCAAAAGGCUAGGACAGGUAAUACUUGUUUUUACAGUACUUGUGCAAAAAGUAUGUCAUACUGUUUGCUCUAGAUGAUUUUGAUGAAUUUUACAACCUUAUUUUCAGUUGUUUACCCCAAGAAAUGGUCUGCUUUCAUGGGGUUUAUUGAAUCCAGGAAAGAACUGUGAGUAGUAGCGAACCAGACAUGAAAAGUUUCAGAGAACUACGAAAACUCCGGUCAGUUUUGUCGGGAUCUUGUGACACAGUUCCAGGACUCUAUUGACUAAGGAAAUGAUAUAUAUGUGUGAUUUAUCCUGUUAAAACUUUUAGUGUUCACUUAGGGGUGAGUGCAACCAGUAACUGAAUUUAGACUACGAACUAGAGUAUGACAGUAAAGUCAGGAGCAUGAUGGAGAACACACGGGACAUUGAGGACUAAUGGUCAACACUUAAAUCUUGCUUUACAUACAGUUCAGUUCCAAGUAGUCUGAUACAUAGAUGGCGAGGGGAGUGCUGAUUUGGGGUUGAUUUUGGUAAUUAUAUAUUUUCCUUGAUGACUAUCAUUUUGUUGUCCUACAUGUGCUAUAUGAUAUGCAUAACAACUUGAGAGCACCUUUGCUUCUCUUGAUGUGCUUCGUCAUACAGUUUUUUAAAGUGCACAAGCAAGCUUGCGAGUGAUGACAACUACUAUGACCUACAACCUUGAAUCUAGGUUUUUGGGGUUGAACAUAGGGGCACAGCGCGCUCUCCCAUCUAACCAGUGAAGCGUAAUGAAGGAAAAGCUACAAUAUACAAAUCGUCACCGUCAUUCAGUUUGUCCAAAACUGAGAAAAGCUCUUUAAAAAACUGGGAAAAGCUCACGUGAUGGAAUGAGAUGAGAUUUCAACAUCAUGAUUGCGUUUUAUAAUUUGAACGACCAAAGUAGAUGGUCCCGUCAGCCCGUGUUUGACAAUAUGAAGGGACAAACUUGUUGAUCCAUUAUUUUGCCAGGAAAAUACAAUAAUUCGGAGGGCUUAAAUAUGGAUAAUAGAUCUGACAUAAUCUAGCAAGGUGAGUGACUCAAUUGCACAUGUGCAAAAUGGAAGUUUAAACUUCCUUGAAUCUCUUGUAGGGUUUGGGGGAGAUUGUCAGCGAGCCACUGAUGAAAGUCCUUUUGCGAUGACAAUGCUAGAGAAGAUUUGAAAGAUCUUGGUUGGCGUGGGGCAACUUGUGUAUUCCUGUAUGGGGGCGCCGUCCGGUGGCAGUGGGGUGUGGCAGUUGCCGCAGCUGGGCACAACCGGGAGUCCACCUAUCCAGAACACCCAACUAUUUCAUCCGGUGAACUGCGAAGAGCUUCUGUGUGCGUCUCCGUUAUAUUUAACUACGACAGGCUUAUGUUAUCUUAUCGCGAACUCAUUUUUCAGUUUGUGCCCAACGUGACUGCAUGUAAAUAUGUAAUACAGCAAUUUUGUUCUUCCUUUUUGUUGUUCGAUUGACUCAGUAUACCAUCUCAAAUGUCAUUCCCUUUAUAGCUAGCACAUCAUCUCCAAAGAAUUUAUUUAAGUUGAAAUCCAGUAAUUAUAUGUUGAUCGCAUAAGCAGGCUGAUGGUGUCUUGGUCGAAUUUUUUAUUCCUUCUCUAUGGAACUAAAACUGUUCUUUCCUGAAUAUAUUGGAUCGCAAAGAACUAAACCUAUGUACAAUGUCUUUGGGCAUAUUCUGAAUUUGCAGAAUUAGCACAAAUCUGAAAGCAUAUAUGCAGCUCCCAGAUGUUGCAGGCUAGAGGAAGGGCAGGCACUCAUGCGAUACCAUGUAUCUGGUUGGACGCGCCGGGUGUGGGGACACUGCAGGACAUGUUUGAUUAUCAUGUCAGUGAAUUCUGGCGAGAAUGAACCAAGUGAGCUUUUGUAGCUGGUCUAUUCAAAAUGGAUGAACGGACCAGUUAGUGUACAUAUAAGUUUGCACUCUGUCUUCCUGCUCAUUCGUGCAAUGUGUUCAUGGGAGACUUAUUUUAGGAAAACAUAAAAUAAUUUUUCUUUCUAUGUGUACUACUCCAGCUUUCAAGUGCCAGGCUUCAAUAAAUCUGAAAUUUCUAUCGCUCGAUUUGCAGUGUUUAUUUUACGGUUACCACUGGGAAAUGCUUCCUUUUAAUCA
Molecule: long non-coding RNA, 3788 nt
Organism: Triticum dicoccoides
Lineage: Eukaryota; Viridiplantae; Streptophyta; Magnoliopsida; Poales; Poaceae
Exons: 6
Source: RefSeq, a predicted model, not a curated record